This 337-nucleotide unclassified non-coding RNA is filed under the name soil metagenome. RNAcentral's name for it is "partial contains 5.8S ribosomal RNA, internal transcribed spacer 2, and large subunit ribosomal RNA". The stretch from base 1 to 120 matches the Rfam family "5.8S ribosomal RNA", at positions 35 to 154 of the family's 154-position model. The record is from RNAcentral.
GACGAAGAACGUAGCGAAAUGCGAUAAGUAAUAUGAAUUGCAGAAUUCAGUGAAUCAUCGAAUCUUUGAACGCACAUUGCGCCCGCCAGUAUUCUGGCGGGCAUGCCUGUUCGAGCGUCAUUUCAACCAUCAAGCCCCCGGGCUUGUGUUGGGGACCUGCGGCUGCCGCAGGCCCUGAAAAGCAGUGGCGGGCUCGCUGUCACACCGAGCGUAGUAGAUUUUAUCUCGCUCAGGGCGUGCUGCGGGUUCCGGCCGUUAAACCACCUUCAUAACCCAAGGUUGACCUCGGAUCAGGUAGGAAGACCCGCUGAACUUAAGCAUAUCAAUAAGCGGAGGA